AAAAAGAUAAGCUAAUUUUAAGCUCAUGGGUUCAUACCCCAUUUAUAGAAAUCAUUCUUCUUUUUA
RNAcentral lists this transfer RNA (66 nucleotides) under Capnogryllacris melanocrania. RNAcentral describes it as "tRNA-Met". The record is from RNAcentral. Lineage: Eukaryota; Metazoa; Arthropoda; Insecta; Orthoptera; Gryllacrididae.